AGGGCGCAUGGUGAAUGCCUUGGCAUCAGGAGCCGAUGAAGGACGUGAUAAGCUGCGAUAAGCUUCGGGUAGGCGCACAUAGCCAGUGAUCCGGAGAUUUCCGAAUGUGGGAACACACAUGGGAAACCCCAUGUAUCGUAUAGUGAAUACAUAGCUAUACGAGGGUAAACCUAGGGAACUGAAACAUCUAAGUACCUAGAGGAAGAGAAAGAAAAAUCGAUUUCCUAAGUAGCGGCGAGCGAAAGGGAAAGAGCCCAAACCAAAGAUUUAUCUUUGGGGUUGCGGACAGAACAUUAACGAGAAGUCGUGAUUAACCGAACACAACUGGAAAGUUGGACCGUAGGAGGUAAUAGUCCUGUAGGUGAAAGUCAAGAUAAUCAAGUUCUGAUCCAGAGUACCACGAGACACGUGAAACCUUGUGGGAAGCAGGGAGGACCACCUCCCAAGGCUAAAUACUACCUGAUGACCGAUAGUGAAGCAGUACCGUGAGGGAAAGGUGAAAAGAACCCCGGGAGGGGAGUGAAAUAGAACCUGAAACCGUGUGCCUACAACCGGUCAAAGCCCCUUAUGAGGGUGAUGACGUGCUUUUUGUAGAACGAGCCAACGAGUUACGGUAUGUAGCAAGGUUAAGUACUUAAGGUACGGAGCCGAAGGGAAACCGAGUCUUAAUAGGGCGACUAGUUGCAUGCCGUAGACCCGAAACCGGGUGACCUAUCCAUGGCCAGGUUGAAGCGAGGGUAAAACUUCGUGGAGGACCGAACCACGUUGCUGUUGAAAAAGCAUGGGAUGAGCUGUGGAUAGCGGAGAAAUUCCAAUCGAACUCGGAGAUAGCUGGUUCUCCCCGAAAUAGCUUUAGGGCUAGCGUCGGAUAUGUGUAGUGGAGGUAGAGCACUGAAUGGGCUAGGGGGCAUAUCGCUUACCGAACCUUAUCAAACUCCGAAUGCCAUAUACAUUAAGUCCGGCAGUCAGACUACGAAUGAUAAGAUCCGUGGUCAAAAGGGAAACAGCCCAGACCGUCAGCUAAGGUCCCAAAGUGUAAGUUAAGUGGAAAAGGAUGUGGGAUUUCUAAGACAACUAGGAUGUUGGCUUAGAAGCAGCCACUCAUUUAAAGAGUGCGUAAUAGCUCACUAGUCGAGAGAUCCUGCGCCGAAAAUGUACCGGGGCUAAACUUACCACCGAAGCUACGGAUUUGCAAGUAAUUGCAAGUGGUAGGGGAGCGUCGUAAUCGGGCUGAAGUCGUACCGGAAGGAGCGGUGGACUGAUUACGAGUGAGAAUGUUGGCAUUAGUAGCGAGAUGUAGGUGAGAAUCCUACAGGCCGAAUAUCUAAGGUUUCCUCAGGAAGGCUCGUCCGCUGAGGGUUAGUCGGGACCUAAGCCGAGGCCGAAAGGCGUAGGCGAUGGACAAUCGGUUGAUAUUCCGAUACCACUACCAUCGUUAUUAUCGAGGGUGUGACGGAGAAGGAUAGUGUGUGCUAGCGAUUGGAAAUGCUAGUCUAAGCGUUUAGGGAGUUACGGUAGGCAAAUCCGCUGUAACAAUUCUGAGGCGUGAUGGGGAAGGUCAUUAAGACCGAAGUACAUGAUUCCAUGCUUCCAAGAAAAGCAUCUAGAGAGAGAAGUAGUGCCCGUACCGCAAACCGACACAGGUAGAUGAGGAGAGAAUCCUAAGGCCGGCGGAAGAAUUGCAGUUAAGGAACUAGGCAAAUUGACCCCGUAAGUUCGCGAGAAGGGGUGCCUGCGAGAGCAGGCCGCAGAGAAUAGGCCCAAGCAACUGUUUAGCAAAAACACAGGUCUCUGCUAAAGCGUAAGCUGAUGUAUAGGGGCUGACGCCUGCCCGGUGCUGGAAGGUUAAGGGGAACACUUAGCGCAAGCGAAGGUGUGAACUUAAGCCCCAGUAAACGGCGGCCGUAACUAUAACGGUCCUAAGGUAGCGAAAUUCCUUGUCAGGUAAGUUCUGACCCGCACGAAUGGCGUAAUGACUUGGGCACUGUCUCAACUGCAAAUCCGGCGAAGUUGUAGUGCGAGUGAAGAUGCUCGCUACCCGCGAUUGGACGGAAAGACCCCGUAGAGCUUUACUGUAGCUUAGCAUUGAAUUCCGGUAUUGUCUGUACAGGAUAGGUGGGAGACUGGGAAACUAGGGCGUCAGCCUUAGUGGAGUCAACCUUGGGAUACCACCCUGACAGUACUGGGGUUCUAACAGGACGCCAUGAAGCUGGUGACUGGACAUUGUUAGGUGGGCAGUUUGACUGGGGCGGUCGCCUCCUAAA
RNAcentral lists this ribosomal RNA (2264 nucleotides) under human gut metagenome. RNAcentral's name for it is "bacterial LSU rRNA". It matches the Rfam family "Bacterial large subunit ribosomal RNA", at positions 14 to 2294 of the family's 2925-position model. The record is from RNAcentral.